Molecule: long non-coding RNA, 1431 nt
Organism: Mauremys mutica (yellowpond turtle)
Lineage: Eukaryota; Metazoa; Chordata; Testudines; Geoemydidae
Exons: 3
Source: RefSeq, a predicted model, not a curated record
AUUAGUCAGGGAUGUGGUCAGGCUGGGGGAUGACUGUGGCAUUGCUGGAGCAGAUGGUCUGACGGGGGGCACAGGCUGGCGCUCGGGGUGUCUGGAUGGGGAAGGUUCGAGACGAGGACGAGCCAGAUGGUGAAUGGGAAACAGACGGGGGAGGGAUAGGAAAGGCUGGUUCUAGCUGCCCCGGGGCAGUUAAUGGGGUUUGUCCACUGUGCACUGGACUCAGAGGUGACAGAGUUUACACCAUUCAGUAGGAUAUCAUGAAGCCCAGCCCGGCAUUAUGGUGGUAGCUGAACAGGCUGAUGUGGUUUCUGGUUCCUUCCUCUGGGCAUCCGCUCCUGGAGCAGCAAAAUCCUUAUUGAAUUGUGGACCCCAGAAUUGGACACUAUUCCAGCAGUGAUUGCACCAGUGCCAACUACAGAGGUAUUAUUGAUCCUGUUUCCAUUGGAGACUGUAUGGAUGACUGGAGAAAUGGUAACAUUGUUUCAUCACAGAUAACAAAAGAAGCAAAACCCAGAUGAUUGGUAGAUGAAGAGAUAUUUAUACAAAACUGUUUCGGGGCAGAUACAGAGGUCAUGAUUUAUAAACUGGUGUAAAUGGGCCACUUUUUGAUGAAAUGAGACAGCCUUAUACUCACUUACAAAGACAGAACAUAUACCUCUUCCACCCCAGCUUUGAUCUCCAGCCUACCCCAGUGCAAAUCCAGAGAGACCCCAGGGACAGCAGUGGAGUCAGAGCCGGAUUCUGAUCUCAGUGACCCGGGUGUAAAUUUGGUGUAAGUGGGAUCAGGCUCAGGCUCACUGACAUGUCGCACCCCCCUCUGCCCUGGCUUAGCUCAGCUCUAAAAAUUCCUGUCUUUAGCCUUGGCCAUAUCCUCCCUAAGCUUUUCAACCACACAUUUUAGCUUCUCGACCGGGUUCUUUAUUGUCUCUGUGUCAAGGAACCUCCUGCUCCCCCACCCUCCUUUUUCUACCACUGGCCGCACUAACUGAUAAAUCUCCUCCAAAAUCAUGCAGGCAUAUUCAUAGUCUGAGGGGUCAUCAAUGUAUGACCUGAGCGCGUUGACUUUCCCAAUCAGCUGACUCACAAAUUGUAUGUGUUUUUUCAGCUCCUCCUCCUCCUCCUGCACUGCUGAAAGCUCAGUUGGUUCACCACCAAUCUCUCUGUUUUUCCCCAGACUGGCCCCGAUGUGUUCAAUCUUCUCCUUGGUUUCUCUCUUCUCUUUCUCACAUAUGCAAACUUCCCGUUUGUAGUCGGAGACCUGGAUUUUGUACUGGCUGAUGGUUUUGUGCAAUUCCAAGGCUGCUUUCUGAGCAAUGUACAUAGACACCUGGCAAAUGAUGGUCACGAGGCUAGCCGACAGGAAAAGCUCCUUCGUAUCGGUCACUUUUAGGGCUUCUUGAAAAAAUUCCAUCGAAACUAUUUAUAAAAAGA